This 253-nucleotide ribosomal RNA is filed under the name uncultured bacterium. RNAcentral describes it as "partial 16S ribosomal RNA". It matches the Rfam family "Bacterial small subunit ribosomal RNA", at positions 524 to 776 of the family's 1533-position model. The record is from RNAcentral.
GACGGAGGGUGCAAACGUUGUUCGGAAUCACUGGGCAUAAAGCGCACGUAGGCGGCGCGCUAAGUCGGGAGUGAAAGCCCUUGGCUCAACCGAGGAAUGUCUCCCGAUACUGGCGUGCUCGAGGACGGUUGGGGUGAGUGGAACUCCUGGUGGAGCGGUGAAAUGCGUAGAUAUCAGGAGGAACACCGGUGGCGAAAGCGGCUCACUGGGCCGUCUCUGACGCUGAGGUGCGAAAGCUAGGGUAGCGAACGGG